RNAcentral lists this non-coding RNA (62 nucleotides) under Marmota monax (woodchuck). It matches the Rfam family "Gag/pol translational readthrough site". The record is from RNAcentral. Lineage: Eukaryota; Metazoa; Chordata; Mammalia; Rodentia; Sciuridae.
UAGGAAAGUCGGGGCUUGGAUCCCCUCCCCGAGCUCAGGGUAAUUUUUGAAAUGGAGGGGAC